UGGCCUCGGAUCAGGGAGGAUC
RNAcentral lists this ribosomal RNA (22 nucleotides) under Limenitis mimica. RNAcentral's name for it is "Litinga mimica partial 28S ribosomal RNA". Lineage: Eukaryota; Metazoa; Arthropoda; Insecta; Lepidoptera; Nymphalidae. The record is from RNAcentral.